AGUGAACGCUGGCGGCAGGCCUAACACAUGCAAGUCGAACGGCAGCACAAGAGAGCUUGCUCUCUGGGUGGCGAGUGGCGGACGGGUGAGGAAUGCAUCGGAAUCUGCCCAUUUGUGGGGGAUAACCUCGAGAAACCGGGACUAAUACCGCAUACGACCUCCGGGUGAAAGCAGGGUGUCUUCGGACCUUGCGCAGAUGGAUGAGCCGAGGCCGGAUUAGCUAGUUGGGGGGGUAAAGGCCCACCAAGGCGACGAUCCGUAGAUGGUCUGAGAGGAUGAUCAGCCACACUGGGACUGAGACACGGCCCAGACUCCUACGGGAGGCAGCAGUGGGGAAUAUUGGACAAUGGGCGCAAGCCUGAUCCAGCCAUGCCGCGUGUGUGAAGAAGGCCUUCGGGUUGUAAAGCACUUUUGUUGGGAAAGAAAAGCAGCCGGUUAAUACCCGGUUGUCAUGACGGUACCCAAAGAAUAAGCACCGGCUAACUUCGUG
RNAcentral lists this ribosomal RNA (490 nucleotides) under uncultured bacterium. RNAcentral describes it as "partial 16S ribosomal RNA". It matches the Rfam family "Bacterial small subunit ribosomal RNA", at positions 29 to 507 of the family's 1533-position model. The record is from RNAcentral.